UCCCUGGUGGCUCAGAUGGUAAAGCGUCUGCCUGCAAUGCGGGAGACCUGGGUUCGAUCCCUGGGUCGGGAA
Transfer RNA from Ovis aries (sheep), 72 nucleotides. It matches the Rfam family "tRNA". Rfam says of the family: Transfer RNA (tRNA) molecules are approximately 80 nucleotides in length. Their secondary structure includes four short double-helical elements and three loops (D, anti-codon, and T loops). Lineage: Eukaryota; Metazoa; Chordata; Mammalia; Artiodactyla; Bovidae. The record is from Rfam.